This 554-nucleotide ribosomal RNA is filed under the name uncultured Bacteroidota bacterium. RNAcentral describes it as "bacterial SSU rRNA". It matches the Rfam family "Bacterial small subunit ribosomal RNA", at positions 97 to 649 of the family's 1533-position model. The record is from RNAcentral. Lineage: Bacteria; Pseudomonadati; Bacteroidota.
GGCGCACGGGUGAGUAACGCGUAUGCAACCUACCCUGUACAGGGGGAUAGCCCGGAGAAAUUCGGAUUAAUACCCCAUAAAGAUAUUGAGUGGCAUCAUUUGAUAUUUAAAGUUUCGGCGGUACGGGAUGGGCAUGCGUAACAUUAGCUAGUUGGUAGGGUAACGGCCUACCAAGGCGACGAUGUUUAGGGGUCCUGAGAGGGUGAUCCCCCACACUGGUACUGAGACACGGACCAGACUCCUACGGGAGGCAGCAGUGAGGAAUAUUGGUCAAUGGGCGAGAGCCUGAACCAGCCAUCCCGCGUGAAGGAAGAACGCCCUAUGGGUUGUAAACUUCUUUUCCAGGGGAAUAAAAUGUCGCACGUGUGCGGCACUGAAGGUACCCUGGGAAUAAGCAUCGGCUAACUCCGUGCCAGCAGCCGCGGUAAUACGGAGGAUGCGAGCGUUAUCCGGAUUUAUUGGGUUUAAAGGGUGCGUAGGCGGAUUAAUAAGUCAGUGGUGAAAACCUGCAGCUUAACUGUAGACUUGCCAUUGAUACUGUUAGUCUUGAGUAC